UCAGUGGCGGACGGGUGAGUAACGCGUAGGUAUCUAUCCUUGGGUGGGGGACAACUGUGGGAAACUACAGCUAAUACCGCAUGAUAACUGAGGUUUAAAGGCGCAAGUCGCCUGAGGAGGAGCCUGCGUACGAUUAGCUAGUUGGCGGGGUAAAGGCCCACCAAGGCGACGAUCGUUAGCUGGUCUGAGAGGAUGAUCAGCCACAUUGGGACUGAGACACGGCCCAA
Molecule: ribosomal RNA, 227 nt
Filed under: uncultured bacterium
Lineage: Bacteria
Description: partial 16S ribosomal RNA
Rfam family: Bacterial small subunit ribosomal RNA
Source: RNAcentral